CUGUGUUUUUGUUGUUAUUUUCAUGAAAUGGACAGGGAAAGUGCCUGCAAAAUUCUGGUUUUCAGAAUCAGUAAUUUUCACAAGAUUUUACAUAAAAAUGAUGUGUCUUUGUCAUACACGAAUAAAAAGCGACCAGUGUUUCUCCAGAAAGAGCCACUUUUGUGUAAUAUCUAUUUGUAUUAGUUAAAAUGAAAUAAUUUGCAGUUAUAAAAAUCCAGGUUUGUUAUAUAUAUUUCUAGUAAUUUAUCCUAGAAUGUUUUGAUAAUUUCUGGGAAAGGUCUGUAUGUGUUCAAAGUCUUGCUAUCAUACCUCUAAAUUCUGAUCUGCUUCUGUGUAUAUAACCAUAUGCUCUCUGCCCUAGAGUAACAGAAUCAAAUAUCAAGUGGUGUCUCUUUUGUCAGCUGAACCUUUGGUGGCCUGCAUUCCUCAGCAUCAUUUAAGCCACAAAGAUUUCUUGCAGGGGAGAUGUCCUUCACAUGAAGAACUAUUUUUUACAUUUUUAAUGAGGUCUUCAAGAGCUUCACUGCAGUACAUGCAGUAUGUACCUAGCACAGGAACAGUGCAAACAGCACAGCCUGAAGUGGUGACUGGAGCUGGAAGUAUUCAAGCUUACCCCCUGUUUGUUGCAGUAUUUCCAUGGCAACUGAAUGCUAUAAGAAGGUUUUCUCUGAAUAUAUUGCUUUAUAAUUUUUCUCUGCUAGUUAUCAAUUACUAUAAAAAAUAGUCUGCUGUGAUGUUUUGUUUAUUUACACUUAUGCACAUAGUUUGUAUUUAUUUUGUUAUUAUUGGUAACAUCAAUUUUAAUGGUUCAGAUUACCAGAGAAGAUAGAAAGGUAAAUGAUGAGUCACUGUGGCAAAAAAAUAAAAGUAAACUCUGCCCAUGAGAAAAAAAGUCAGGGUGAAUAUGUAUAUCAGUUAGUAUCAGACGGAAAUGUUUUUGUUCAUACAGAUUUAUUUUUCAUGUCCAGUUAGCUAUUUGCUGUUAACUGUCCUCUGUGAUCCUAGCUUAGCUUCUAUUCAGAGACCACAAGAUAAAUCAGAUGUGGCAGCGAGCUUCACCUUUCAGUGUUCUGUGCCACAUGUGAGAGCCUGGAUCCUUCCAGUCAGACAGCAAACACUGGCGAUGUGAGCCAGAAAUGACACAUCAACUGAAGUUCAAGGAGUACCAUUGAACUGUGCUCUUUAUCUACUAAGAAAACAGCUCCACUGGUGUGACGAGUCUUAGCUAAUGAACCACCACUGCCUAGCUGGGGAACAUCAAGCCCUGCUGUCCUGAUUCAUGACACUUGCUCAGCCAUCAGACAACACCACGUGCUGAGGAUGAAAAUCAUUUAAUAAAAAGGAGAAUGGAUUGCAGCUGGAGUCCCGGUCUUCAAUAUGAGGCAGCCAAAUCUAACACAGGAGUGAGACAUGGCUCCCCAUUCUCUCAUGUGCCAUGUAUGACUCAACUAGGCUGAUAUAAAGAGACUAGUUAGAGGGCCCUUCACCCACCUUUCUGGUUCAUAUCACUGAGUCUGGGAUGCCAGUGACAAAUUUCUUCCCUGCUUUAUAUGCAAAGGAGAUGAUGUACAUGUGUCACCAAGGCAGGCUCCACUAUCUGGGUUAUCCUGCUGCUGAGUUAUGAUGUGGCACAGACAGGGAUUGAUGAUACUACUAAGAUCAGCAAAUAACACCAUUCACCUGUCAGCUCAAAGACAAAAACUCUGUCCUUUUAGCACCAACAGGCAAAUGGCAGCUGGAAAGAAAAGGUCCAAAAUUUUAUAUUCUAUUAAGGAGAAGGAAAUGGCAUGAGAAAUUUGGAUAGCACUGCUCUGUGACUUGGUACUUUGGCCCAUUUUUUUUGGAAAAAUUAGUUGGAAGUUUAUCAACUCUCUGCCAAAAAAGAAAUAUAUAUUCCACUGAAACUCUCUCUGUGUAUAAAUUGCCAUGAUUUUGAAAAAUUCACAUAGAACUGGAAAAGUAAUGAAAAAAAAGUAAUGAAAAACUUCCAUGUAGUGUGGCUCCUAACAAGGACUAAAAAGCACCCUUUAAUUUCAUACCACACACUACAUUUCUUAAGGAUGGAACAAAUGGUAACAAACUAUGUUGUAAAGAUUUGGUUAUGUGAAGAUGAUUAAAAGGUCCCCCAAAUCUCUCCAUGGCUUUCUUCAGCUUUGAGUAGGGCCUAGAUAUUUAGAGAAUAUAAAACCUCAGGUAAUGCCCUUUUGUUCACUAUUACUUUUGUUUAAGACCCCUGGCAUUCAUUCUUCUUUGAGAGCAUAAAACUAUAAUGUAGGUAAGAUGAUAAAUCAUCUUACCAAAUAACUAAUAGAAUUUACCUUUUCAUUGUGUGAAUUAUCUCCAGACUCAGAGAUUGAACUGGUUUUGUUGAACUAUUGGAUAAAUAAAAUGGAACAACACUCCAGAGCAAAAAUA
Pseudopipra pipra is the source of this 2415-nucleotide long non-coding RNA. RefSeq lists it as uncharacterized. The record is from RefSeq and is a predicted model, not a curated record. NCBI's taxonomy places the organism in Eukaryota, Metazoa, Chordata, Aves, Passeriformes, Pipridae. The transcript is spliced from 2 exons.